UACGUAGGGUGCAAGCGUUAAUCGGAAUUACUGGGCGUAAAGCGUGCGCAGGCGGUCUUUUAAGUCAGAUGUGAAAUCCCCGGGCUUAACCUGGGAACUGCGUUUGAAACUGGAAGGCUUGAGUGUGGCAGAGGGGGGUGGAAUUCCACGUGUAGCAGUGAAAUGCGUAGAUAUGUGGAGGAACACCGAUGGCGAAGGCAGCCCCCUGGGCUAACACUGACGCUCAUGCACGAAAGCGUGGGGAGCAAACAGG
RNAcentral lists this ribosomal RNA (253 nucleotides) under uncultured bacterium. RNAcentral's name for it is "partial 16S ribosomal RNA". It matches the Rfam family "Bacterial small subunit ribosomal RNA", at positions 524 to 776 of the family's 1533-position model. The record is from RNAcentral.